Molecule: long non-coding RNA, 490 nt
Filed under: Chloebia gouldiae (Gouldian finch)
Lineage: Eukaryota; Metazoa; Chordata; Aves; Passeriformes; Passeridae
Description: Erythrura gouldiae (Gouldian finch) lncRNA (ENSEGOG00005018675.1)
Source: RNAcentral
CGUUGCUGACCACUCUGAAGGUCACUUUGUGGUCACUUUGGCCUCCUUUCACCACCCCAGUGGUCACUUCCUCAAUGUCCAGCAGGGAUCCGGUGUCCAGCGGUCACUGCCCACCACUCUGGGGUCACUUUGCACCACUUCGGGGGGUCACUCCUCCCCACUUCAGUGGUCACUCCGCGGUCACUCUGACCUCCUUCCCACCACCCCAGCGGUCACUCCCUCAGUGUCCAGCAGGGAUCCAGUGUCCAGCGGUCACUCCCCACCACUUUGGGGUCACUUUGUGCCACUCUGGGGUCACUCUGUGCCACUUUGGGGUCACUUUGUGCCACUUUGGGGUCACUUUGUGCCACUUUGGGGUCACUCUGUGCCACUUUGGGGUCACUUUGUGCCACUCUGCGGUCACUCCCCACCACUUCGGUGGUCACUCCGCGGUCGCUCCGACCUCCUUCCCACCACCCCAGCGGUCACUCUCUCAGUGUCCAGCAGGGAU